This is a small nucleolar RNA of Carassius auratus (goldfish), 132 nucleotides long. Ensembl annotates it as small nucleolar RNA SNORA31. Lineage: Eukaryota; Metazoa; Chordata; Actinopteri; Cypriniformes; Cyprinidae. The record is from Ensembl.
UAGCAUCCACUGAUAGGCCUGUUGCCAUAAUUGGUGGCCUCUGGGUUUGCACAAGGAUGCAACAGUAAUGUUCCUCAUGAUGUCUGGCCAUCUUUAAGGUGGCUGGAAAGGAUUGAAUUGAGGAAAAUAGGA